GACGAACCGUCCAAACGUUGUUCGGAAUCACUGGGCUUAAAGGGCGCGUAGGCGGGUUCCCAAGUCGGUGGUGAAAUCUUUCGGCCCAACCGGAAAACAGCCGCCGAUACUGGGAGUCUCGAGGGAGGUAGGGGUCGAUGGAACUCCAGGUGGAGCGGUGAAAUGCGUAGAUAUCUGGAGGAACGCCGGUGGCGAAAGCGAUCGACUGGACCUUUUCUGACGCUGAGGCGCGAAAGCCAGGGGAG
Molecule: ribosomal RNA, 245 nt
Filed under: uncultured Zavarzinella sp.
Lineage: Bacteria; Pseudomonadati; Planctomycetota; Planctomycetia; Gemmatales; Gemmataceae
Description: partial 16S ribosomal RNA
Rfam family: Bacterial small subunit ribosomal RNA
Source: RNAcentral